RNAcentral lists this ribosomal RNA (498 nucleotides) under uncultured bacterium. RNAcentral's name for it is "partial 16S ribosomal RNA". It matches the Rfam family "Bacterial small subunit ribosomal RNA", at positions 28 to 508 of the family's 1533-position model. The record is from RNAcentral.
GAUGAACGCUGGCGGCGUGCCUAACACAUGCAAGUCGAACGAACAGACGAGGCGCUUGCUCCUCUCUCGUUAGCCGAGGACGUGUGUGUAACACGUGUAUCCUCCACCUAUCAGUCUGGGAUAACUUCGGGACACCGGAGCAUACACCGUAUAAUAUAUUGAUCCGUAUUGGUCAUUGGUAAGUGUCGGUUUUGCUGUCUGUAAUCGCUGCUUCCGCGCCGCAUUGGCUAGUUGGUACGGUCACGGAGUACCAAGGCGACGAUGCGUAGCCGACCUGAGAGGGUGAUCGGCCACACUGGAACGGAGACACGGUCCAGACGCCUACGGGAGGCAGCAGUAGGGAAUCUUCCGCAAUGGGCGAAAGCCUGACGGAGCAACGCCGCGUGAGGGAUGAAGGUCUUCGGAUCGUGAAACUCGGUUAUUAGGGAAGAACAAAUGUGUAAGUAACUAUGCGCGUCUUGACGGUACCUAGGCAGAAAGCCACGGCUAACUACGUGC